This 22-nucleotide non-coding RNA is filed under the name Rattus norvegicus (Norway rat). Lineage: Eukaryota; Metazoa; Chordata; Mammalia; Rodentia; Muridae. The record is from RNAcentral.
AUGUCUGGUUUGAGAAAUGAAA